This 223-nucleotide unclassified non-coding RNA is filed under the name uncultured Actinomycetes bacterium. RNAcentral describes it as "uncultured actinobacterium contains 16S-23S intergenic spacer region". The record is from RNAcentral. Lineage: Bacteria; Bacillati; Actinomycetota; Actinomycetes.
UCCGAGUUGACCCCGGCAGUCUCCUAUGAGUCCCCACCAUAACGCGCUGGCAACACAGGACAAGGGUUGCGCUCGUUGCGGGACUUAACCCAACAUCUCACGACACGAGCUGACGACAGCCAUGCACCACCUGUAUACCGACCACAAGGGGGGCCGUAUCUCUACGGCUUUCCGGUAUAUGUCAAACCCAGGUAAGGUGGGGAUGACGUGAUCGGAUUCUAAG